CGAAAGCCUGACGGAGCAACGCCGCGUGAGGGAUGAAGGCCUCUGGGCUGUAAACCUCUUUUCUCAAGGAAGAAGACAUGACGGUACUUGAGGAAUAAGCCACGGCUAAUUCCGUGCCAGCAGCCGCGGUAAUACGGGAGUGGCAAGCGUUAUCCGGAAUUAUUGGGCGUAAAGCGUCCGCAGGCGGCCUUGUAAGUCUGUCGUUAAAGCGUGGAGCUUAACUCCAUUUCAGCGAUGGAAACUACAAGGCUUGAGUGUGGUAGGGGCAGAGGGAAUUCCCGGUGUAGCGGUGAAAUGCGUAGAUAUCGGGAAGAACACCAGUGGCGAAGGCGCUCUGCUGGGCCAUAACUGACGCCCAUGGACGAAAGCCAGGGGAGCG
Molecule: ribosomal RNA, 379 nt
Filed under: uncultured cyanobacterium
Lineage: Bacteria; Bacillati; Cyanobacteriota
Description: bacterial SSU rRNA
Rfam family: Bacterial small subunit ribosomal RNA
Source: RNAcentral